CCCGCCCCCACGGUGAUCCUCCCAUGGCCCCGCCCUGCCCCGGCCACGCUAAUUGGUUUCUUUCUGCGGAGCUUCCUGAGCUCCGAUUGGCUGUACUCGUCGCCUUUCCGCUGUUCGAUUGGUCCGCGGGGCCCGCUUUCUCGAGGACCUGCUCCUCGACGGGGCGGGGCCAGCGGCGGCGCGCGGAGCAGGAUUGGUCAGCGACUCAGAGGGGGCGGGCCCACGCCGCGCGCAGUGCCUCGCCAGAAGCGCCAGGAGCAGCUACUGCCGCCUCAGUCGCCUCAGUCGCUUCAGGCUUGGUCGCCUCAGGCUCAGGCACCACCGGGAUCUUCAGUCCUCACCCCCAGCCCCGCCCCGGCCGCCCUCCCGUGGGCCGGCCCGCGGGCACGCCCUCUGCCGCGGGACAGGGCUGCCUACAGAGGGAAGCUCCUCACAUGGUUCCAUGGAGACGGGACACGGAACGCAGUCACUUGAAGUGCUGUGAAGGCCAGGAGCCCCACCCUUGCCCGUGCCCUCCGAGGGAGCAUCCCGCCCCCGCCAAGAGAGUGCACACAUCCCAGAGCGGCCAGCGCCCUUGCAGGGUCUCCGGCCAGAUGGACAGUGUCCUUGCCCACGGGGAAGCAGGCGGGCUGGCAGGACAGGCGUCCCCAGGCCGGGAGGAGGAGCCGCUCGCAGGUCACGGGGCCCCACGACCCAUCAGCCCUCCCGCGAGUCGCCAGAACCAGCUCUGA
RNAcentral lists this long non-coding RNA (731 nucleotides) under Capra hircus (goat). RNAcentral's name for it is "lncRNA (ENSCHIG00010008579.1)". Lineage: Eukaryota; Metazoa; Chordata; Mammalia; Artiodactyla; Bovidae. The record is from RNAcentral.